This 745-nucleotide small RNA is filed under the name Malus domestica (apple). RNAcentral's name for it is "sRNA MD02G0085300". Lineage: Eukaryota; Viridiplantae; Streptophyta; Magnoliopsida; Rosales; Rosaceae. The record is from RNAcentral.
UCUCCAAUUCUCCAUAUCAGAACCCUCUCUUUCAUUUGUCUCAGCCCCUUCGCUCUCUAAAAUAUGAGAAAUGCUCUCAUGUCUCUAACCUUAAGCCCAUCGCCCAGUCUCACAACCCAUCCAUUCCAUAGCCGCUCCAAUCUCGCUCUAAUGUAGUCAUUCCUGCUGCAACUAAGACCCCAGCAGCAACAUACACCCCCCCCCCCCCAAAUCACUGUAAACCCAGCAUACCAGAGUGAGCUGAGAAGAGGGGAUAUCGAAGGAACUUUGAGCUGACGUCAGUACCAUGGAAGAGACAACGGAAUUGCUACAAAAUCUCAGAUCCGGCGAUGCACUGGAAAACAAAACAAGAAAUGCUCGGAUCCAAAGCCAAAGGCCUUGUGGGAAAGGUUUUGGUGGUGGUACAUAAACAUGGGUAGCAGUUCGAGUGGGAUUAUAGGGUCAGCAUGUGCCGCUUUCUCCCCUGGACGUGAAUGGGUGGCAGAUUGCUCUUCAGUUCCUACACCAAUCUCUUCUUCCGUUUCUACACCAAUUUCCUCUUGAUCAUCAUAACUUUUCCCACAGUUUAAUGGUUGAAUCUGAAAUCCUUAAUUGAUUCUUUUAAUGUACAACUCAGUUGAUUCCAAUAAGAUAGAAAUUUUGUUCUCCACCGGAAGCUCUUCUGGCACAUUAGGUUGCUCAAAACACUGUUGAUUACAUGCCCACAUAAAAUAAAGAUGUUUUUUUAAACCUGGAGUGUAGAACU